GGCUUUGUUCUUGGAAGCAACUUCACCUUAGGCCGUUCAGAUGAUUCAGACUGCACUGAGGAUAACAAUUCAGUCCUACUAAAUCUGACAUCAGUAUAUGGUUGUUGAACCCUUUCACCAUGCAUUGACAGGUUCCUGUCUCUCAAUUCUGAAUAUGAACCAACCCUGGCCUUUUCAUGAUCAACGUACUCCCUUUUGCCGUUUUGAACCCCAUCCUGAAGAGCCAUACCCCUUUC
This 236-nucleotide unclassified non-coding RNA is filed under the name Hevea brasiliensis (rubber tree). Lineage: Eukaryota; Viridiplantae; Streptophyta; Magnoliopsida; Malpighiales; Euphorbiaceae. The record is from RNAcentral.